GACUCCCAGUUUUCUGGCUAAUGAAUCAGAUACCACAGAUACACAGUGAUAGCAUUUGUUUAGGUUAUAUUUUUUAAAACUUUGAGGUAGCCCUGUCAACAUACCAUGAAGCUCAAAAAUAAAUUGCUACCCAGGUAGCUUCUUUGAGUGUCACCUUGAGUGACAAACUGUAACAAGAUUGUGUCUGUCAUUGGGGCCUAUUAUAUAAUCACACUUGAUUUGUGGCCUCUAUUGUCUUUUCUAGCUUAGAGUUGACUUGAAUCUCUUGUUCAUCUGAAAUGGUUAAAACCAACUUUCUUCAUUAUCCUGGAGAAGGCUAAAGUUCUGAGGGCUUUCACUGUCUUAAGGAGCUAGUUAUAUGAGAAAGCUCUUGGCUUGGUCCAUGGUAUUUAGGAAGGAAUGCUGUUUGGAGAAGAACCUUUUUGGAGCCUUGCAUUUGAUUGUUGGUGAGGAGGAGACAACAGAGAUGUGUGGGGAAUAAAGUUGGGCUAUGGGGGAAGUAUUUGGAGUGAUAGAUAAGAAAGGACACGUUUUUUAAACCUCCUUUGAUGCUCAUCAUUUCCUUUUUGGUAAAAUGGGGGUAACAAAAGUAGUCUUCUCACAGGACUGCUGUGAGGAUUAAAUGGGAAAAUUAUAAGCAGAGAGUAGCAAAUAUUAUUAUUAUUGCAUUUAGGCUUAAUUAUUGUCCAAAGAAAAUACCAGCAUGAUGCAUGAGCAACUUUCAACUCCUUUAGCCAUUUUCUGAAAUAUAACAAUUAAAUGAUUUUUUUUUUUUAAAUCGAGGUCACAUUUUAAACUGUAGAACCCAUUGUGACCAACAGCCAUCCCAUUUGAGGGUAUCUGGCUGCUGCCAGUUGGCUUUAAGAUGUCAUACUGCCCUCAAAUGGAACUUUCAGGAUGUCUACAGGUCCCUUUACUAGUUGGUUUCAAUGAGCUUUUUUCAAAGUUUUUCUGGGUUGUAAACAGACGGAUAAACAUGAAAUUCCAAGCAACCUAGUUCAAGGGCCUCCUUCCUUUAGGUAAUGAAAGUUUGAUGAAUUGUCCUACUGUUUCUAAAUAUGUGGUUAAUCAUCCAAGAAAAAUUGUUCCCUUGGCCAGAGGCUGCAUUUGUGUCUAGGGCUUGGGUUAGUAUGGGUUAAAGAUAGCCAAGACUAUUGUUCUCAAGCACAGGCAACUAAGAUCUCUUACUGAUAAAUUUAUAUAUACAUUAUAUACCUGCAAACUUUAUUUUUUAUAUAUAACUAGAUUUUAUUUAUAGGUAAUCUUUAUAUCUUUUAUCUUAACCCAAUUUUUAAUUUAAAUGGAGAUGUUUAUUAAUUAAAAUUAGUUUCAGAGUUUCAGGGAUUUUUGAGGAAUUUUUUGUUUGGAGGCUGAUAUGUUACAGAAGAAAGGUUAUAUCCACUGACUGAUGUCUUUUAUAGAUCACUCCUACAGUGACAGCACAGAGAUGGUGAAAAUCAUUGUGCACACUGUGCAGAGUCAGGACCGUGUGCUCAAGGAGCUGUUUGGUCAUUUGAGGUAGGAAAAUUGCUUCAUUUCCUACUGAAAAACCAGGAUAUGUUUAUCUUGUUCCUCUCAAAGUACAAAAGUCCUCUUUGGUAAAGUAUACUUACCCAGGAGGAAUUCUGAAGUUACCUUGGGUAGCUUGGCCAUAGCUAUCUGCAUUUAUGUGUCCUUUUGUAUGCAUUACUUUGGAGAUAAGUCAUUAAAUCUGAUGCUGAUUGUGGUUCAUUUCCUCAGCUGGGUUUUGGGAGUAUGGUGUACAGUCUUGGGGCAUGUGUAAGUGUCUGACACUGAUUUAAUCUCUCCAGCAAGUUGUUGGGCUGUAAGCAGAAGAUUAUUGAUCUACUCCCUAAGGUGGAAGUGGCCCUCAGUAAUAUCAAAGAAGCUGACAAUACUGUCAUGUUCAUGCAGGGAAAAAGGCAGAAAGAAAUAUGGCAUCUCCUUAAAAUUGCCUGUGUAAGUAAUUAUUAAUGAAUUAUUUAAUGUGACAUUGAGUUGCUAUUAUUCCUUGCAAAGGGGAUUUUUAUCAACAUGAGGUGGGCCCUCUUGAAGACAUGUAUAUUUUGCAUUGGGAUGACAUCCAUGUUCCUUGCUUGGUGUCCAGACUAGCAAUUGAGAUGCAGGACUUAUUAUCAUCUCUCCUUUCCAAUUUCUCUGUUGUUAUACUCCUCUUAGCCCUUGACUACUGUGGUAUUCCAACCUAACUUGGGGAUAGAUGUACCUGCCUAGCUAAUGAAAUUGACCAUCUAUUCAACUGGGUUUUUUUUUUCUUUCUUCAACUAAAAUGGUAUAAGAUGAGUGGAUAUAUUUGGUUUUAGUCAAUGAAGAAAGGGUCCAAGGACAGGUUACUAAUGGUGUGUAAAGGUGGGAAUAGUUUUGUACUGAAAUACUCUGGUUGUGCAUAUAAGUAGUAACGGAAAUGUAAGUCUUAGGAAUAUGAUAAGAAAUUGUGUGAAUCAACAGAGAUGCUUCCCUGUAAUCUUUUGAUGUUUUUUUCUUUUCCUUCAGACACAGAGUUCUGCCCGGUCCCUUGUAGGAUCCAGUCUAGAAGGUGCAGUAACCCCUCAGACAUCAGCAUGGCUGCCCCCGACUUCAGCAGAACAUGAUCAUUCUCUGUCAUGUGUGGUAACUCCUCAAGAUGGGUGGGUUUACUUUGUAACAAUAGAUAGCUGUGUUUUCAUAGCAGUGGUAUAGGAAUGAGGCAGUAGUUGUUAAGGUAGUCUUCUGUGCCUUCAGACCAGGGUUGAGUCCUGACUAUCCCUUUGUAAUAAUCUUAGGCAACUUACUUGACUUUUUUGAUGUUCAUAUUUCCUCACCUGUAAAACAGGAAUGUCUCAUAGACUGCUGUGGAAAUUUGAUUAGACAAUGUAUAUAAAGUGCUUGGGAAAUAAAUGUUCAGCAAAUGUUGUGUAUUAUUAGCUCAAAUGUUGCUUAUUAUUAGCUAAGUCCAAGUUCUAAGUCCUUUCUUUUAUUGGCUUAUUACUUUCUUUUACUCAAACCUUACUCCUUCAUUAACAGUUUAUGAGAAAUUAUGCUAUCAUUUUGCAUUUAUCAUUUUGGGGAUCCUUGAUUACCCUUUUUGAGAUCUAUUUUAUAACUUUGUAUUUCUAAGAUUAGACUUUUUUCAGUGUUUUAAAUCAGUUUUGCAAGAACUCAAAUUCUAAGCCCUAUAUUUUAUUAAUUCCUACUCUUUUGCUAAAAGCUGAAUGACUAUCCAUUUCUGUUAUUUUCUCAGCUUAAGAUGUGCCGUAUCCAAAGCCAGUGGCUCUUUGCUAGCUUGUGUAUUGUCGCUUUUCUCACAACUCAUGGAGACCUCUACAGCACCAGCAUUUCCUGGAAGCUCUGCCCAUAAUUAGUUUUGCAGAAGUGCAGCCAUGUUACAUCACUGCUCAGGAGGUCAUGCAGUUGCACAUUCUGUACUCUACUUUUAUGAGAGAAAAGCACAUGGCAGGAAGGCAAGCUGAUAUCAGAGAGACUUCAGCACAAAUGAUAGAAGAAAAUUUGAACUGCCUUGGCCAUUUAAGCACUAUUAUUCAUGAGGCAAAUGAGGAACAGGGCAGUAGUAUGAUGAAUCUUGAUUGGAGUUGGUUAACAGAAUGAGUUGUCACUUGUUCACUGUUCCCAAACCUAUGGAAGUUGUUGCUAUACAUGUUGGAAAUGUGUUUUUCCCCCAUGAAACCAUUCUUCAGACAUCAGUCAAUGGAAGAAAUGGCUAUGAACAGAAACUACAUUUCUACUACGAUCAGAAGAACAUGAUUUUACAAGUAUAACAGUUUUGAGUAAUUCAAGCCUCUAAACAGACAGGAAUUUAGAAAAAGUCAAUGUACUUGUUUGAAUAUUUGUUUUAAUACCACAGCUAUUUAGAAGCAUCAUCAUGACACAUUUGCCUUCAGUCUUGGUAAAACAUUACUUAUUUAACUGAUUAAAAAUACCUUCUAUGUAUUAGUGUCAACUUUUAACUUUUGGGCGUAAGACCAAAUGUAGUUUUCUAUACAGAGAAGAAAACCUCAAGUAAUAGGCAUUUUAAGUAAAAGUCUACCUGUGUUUUUUUCUAAAAAGGCUGCUCACAAGUUCUAUUUCUUGAAGAAUAAAUUCUACCUCCUUGUGUUGCACUGAACAGGUGCUCUUCCUGGCAUCAUAAGGAGUUGGUGUAAUCAUUUUAAAUUCCACUGAAAAUUUAACAGUAUCCCCUUCUCACCGAAGGGAUUGUGUAUCUGUGCUUCUAAUAUUAGCUGGCUUUCAUAAAUCAUGUUGUUGUGUGUAUAUGUAUUUAAGAUGUACAUUUAAUAAUAUCAAAGAGAAGAUGCCUGUUAAUUUAUAAUGUAUUUGAAAAUUACAUGUUUUUUCAUUUGUAAAAAUGAGUCAUUUGUUUAAACAAUCUUUCGUGUCUUGUCACACAAAUUUAUAAAGGUCUGCACUCCUUUAUCUGUAAUUGUAAUUCCAAAAUCCAAAAAGCUCUGAAAACAAGGUUUCCAUAAGCUUGGUGACAAAAUUCAUUUGCUUGCAAUCUAAUCUGAACUGACCUUGAAUCUUUUUAUCCCAUUUAGUGUGAAUAUUCCUUUAUUUUGCUGCUUGAUGAUGAGAGGGAGGGCUGCUGCCACAGACUCUGGUGAGGGCUGGUUAAUGUAGUAUGGUAUAUGCACAAAAUUACUUUUCUAAAAUCUAAAAUUUCAUAAUUCUGAAACAUCUUGCCCCAAGGGUUUCAGAUAAAGGACUGUGGACCUCUAUCAUCUGUUAAGUAAUUUAGAAGAUAUUAUUUGUCUUAAAAAAUGUGAAAUGCUUUUAUAUUCUAAUAGUUUUUCACUUUGUGUAUUAAAUGGUUUUUAAAUUA
This 4834-nucleotide small RNA is filed under the name Pan troglodytes (chimpanzee). RNAcentral describes it as "processed transcript". The record is from RNAcentral. Lineage: Eukaryota; Metazoa; Chordata; Mammalia; Primates; Hominidae.